RNAcentral lists this ribosomal RNA (497 nucleotides) under uncultured bacterium. Its description in RNAcentral is "partial 16S ribosomal RNA". It matches the Rfam family "Bacterial small subunit ribosomal RNA", at positions 28 to 507 of the family's 1533-position model. The record is from RNAcentral.
GAUGAACGCUGGCGGCGUGCCUAAUACAUGCCAGUCGAGCGAACAGACGAGGAGCUUGCUCCUCUGACGUUAGCGGCGGACGGGUGAGUAACACGUGGAUAACCUACCUAUAAGACUGGGAUAACUUCGGGAAACCGGAGCUAAUACCGGAUAAUAUAUUGAACCGCAUGGUUCAAUAGUGAAAGACGGUUUUGCUGUCACUUAUAGAUGGAUCCGCGCCGCAUUAGCUAGUUGGUAAGGUAACGGCUUACCAAGGCAACGAUGCGUAGCCGAACUGAGAGGGUGAUCGGCCACACUGGAACUGAGCCACGGUCAAGACUCCUACGGGAGGCAGCAGUAGGGAAUCUUCCGCAAUGGGCGAAAGCUUGACGGAGCAACGCCGCGUGAGUGAUGAAGGUCUUCGGAUCGUAAAACUCUGUUAUUAGGGAAGAACAAAUGUGUAAGUAACUAUGCACGUCUUGACGGUACCUAAUCAGAAAGCCACGGCUAACUACGUG